Molecule: ribosomal RNA, 429 nt
Filed under: uncultured bacterium
Lineage: Bacteria
Description: bacterial SSU rRNA
Rfam family: Bacterial small subunit ribosomal RNA
Source: RNAcentral
UGAGGAAUCUUGCGCAAUGGGGGAAACCCUGACGCAGCAACGCCGCGUGAGUGAGGAAGGCCUUCGGGUCGUAAAGCUCUGUCAGAUGGGAAGAAAUGGGUGGGGGCUAAUAUCGCCCAUCCUUGACGGUACCAUCAGAGGAAGCACCGGCUAACUCCGUGCCAGCAGCCGCGGUAAUACGGGGGGUGCGAGCGUUGUUCGGAAUCAUUGGGCGUAAAGCGCGCGCAGGCGGCUUGGUGAGUCAGAUGUGAAAGCCCUGGGCUUAACCCAGGAAGUGCAUUUGAUACUGCCUCGCUAGAGUACGGGAGAGGAAUGUGGUAUUCCUGGUGUAGAGGUGAAAUUCGUAGAUAUCAGGAGGAACACCGGUGGCGAAGGCGACUUUCUGGCCCGAUACUGACGCUCAGGCGCGAAAGCGUGGGGAGCAAACAG